This 28-nucleotide non-coding RNA is filed under the name Rattus norvegicus (Norway rat). The record is from RNAcentral. Lineage: Eukaryota; Metazoa; Chordata; Mammalia; Rodentia; Muridae.
UAGAAGGCCCUAUCAGUAAGUUUAAUUC